UUGAAACCUGGGGUCUCUGGACAAACAGCGCAGUGACUAGGCCGCUUUUUGUGAAGUCCUGAGGCCUGGAGAGAGCUGAGUCCAUGCAGAGCGUGCGAGGCCGACGGGUCAGAGACUGAGAUGGCAGAUGGUCACCAGGGCAGCACUGCAGAGCCCGUCGCUCAGGCCGGGGCUGAAGAACGGGUACAGGCGCUCGGUGAACGUGUCAGUGAAGGUGUAGAGGUGUGACAUCCGCUCGGCGUCGUAGAAGGAUACCUGCCCGGCCUCGUAGUCCAGGCGGUAUUGGAGGGGCCCUUUAAAAAGGCCCAGGCACAGCUUUGCUGAGAGCACGGAAGGGUGGUGAAUCUCCUCGCGGGGCCUGUGUGCAGGGAGAUAGACGGCGUCAGUGGCGACAAAAGCUUAGGGACGGCUUCUAAAUGCAGCAGGUCAAAGAGCGGGCUGGACCGGAGGCCCCUACCUCCACCAGCUCCUGCCCCACACCCUUCCCCAGUUACCUACCGGGUUUGGCCUUAACAGAUUCAGAGAUGGAGUGCGUUCCCCCAUCCGGGAGGGUGUCCUACCCUCGAGGGAGAUCAGCUUUCAGAGGCCGGUCGGCACCGCAGGGCCUGAGGCAUGUUAUCACCCCGGAGAAUGUCGCUUCGGUCCAAUGGGUCUCUGUCCAUUUUUCUUUCCAAGUUUCCAUUUGGUUGUGUUCCCUUCGUUACGGUACCCCAAGCAGGGCCAACUAAACCCUCUGUUUUUUCAAAGAGCACAGGCAGCUUUCCUUUCAGUUUGAAAAAUAGAGUAGAGGGGAACCUAGCUCAAGAGCGCCACCCGGUGCAGUGGCCAUCACUGGAACUACAGGGUGGUUUCUGAGACUGAAGUCGGUGGGAGGGUAGGUGACGAGUCGGGAGAAAUCGGAACCACGCCUGGUGUUUUAGUGGAAAGAAGCUGGCUGGAGCACCCCUGUACAAGCAGGAGAGAGGGUGCAGGCUGGUGACCCGUAGGAGAUGGGUUAGAAAGGUCGGGGGAGGGAGUGCCAUUGGAUGGCACUUCUGCUUGGCACAUGACAGUUCCCUAGAGGAGGUAUCCUCUCUGCCAGCCCAGCACUGGCACCGACGAUGCAAGUUGCCAAACCAUACCAGUACUGCCCUCCCCUCCCCAAACUUCUCAUAUGAUGGAGACAGAACGAGGCCUGUAAAUGAUCUGAGGGCCUGAGCAGGACCAAAGUGGGGGGCCAGGCUGACAGCCUUACCGCUUUCAGCACCCACGGACAGCAGGGUGAGUGCGAUGGGCCGAAAGGCCGGUACAAUGCUAUGACGCCGCAGUGUGAUGAAGAGACGGUGUGCUGGUUAGGUCGGGACAUACGAGAAACAAGAGCAGAUGGAUGUAAUUCGGCCCAUCGAGCCUGCUGGGAAUAAUGUCAACGAUCCGAGGGCUCAACCCCAAUCUCCUGCCUUAUCCCCAGGCUCCUCAAUAUCUAUCUUUCUCAUCAAUCUCUGCCUCAGCUUCUGUCUGGGCCAAACGAUGCCUGAGAUUCAUCAGCCUCUGAGUAAAGAAAUUCCUCUUUA
This is a long non-coding RNA of Rhincodon typus (whale shark), 1550 nucleotides long. RefSeq lists it as uncharacterized. Lineage: Eukaryota; Metazoa; Chordata; Chondrichthyes; Orectolobiformes; Rhincodontidae. The record is from RefSeq and is a predicted model, not a curated record. The transcript is spliced from 2 exons.